GGUGGCACAGUGGUUAAGCACUUGGCUGCUAACCAAAAGGUUGGUGGUUUAAAUCCACCAGCCA
Non-coding RNA from Loxodonta africana (African savanna elephant), 64 nucleotides. NCBI's taxonomy places the organism in Eukaryota, Metazoa, Chordata, Mammalia, Proboscidea, Elephantidae. The record is from Rfam.